This 310-nucleotide unclassified non-coding RNA is filed under the name Mycoplasmopsis maculosa. RNAcentral's name for it is "Mycoplasma maculosum miscellaneous RNA". The record is from RNAcentral. Lineage: Bacteria; Bacillati; Mycoplasmatota; Mycoplasmoidales; Metamycoplasmataceae.
CUACGGAGUACAAAAGACUAAUUAGAAAAUUAAUUAGUAUCUAACCUACUUAAAAAAUCAGACCUGUUAUUACAAUAUAUAUUUAUGUCAUGUGGCUUUUUACAAGGUCGAAGUCUUAUAUCUAGUUUUGAGAGAAUAUCUCUCAUUUGUUCUUUGAAAACUGAAUAGUAAAUUUUUUGAUAUUUACAACGACAUCUAAAUAAAUUAAUUUGGUUAAUUUGUUUUGAUUCAUCGAGUAAUCAUUUAAAUAUGAUUCAUUGAAAUGUCUUAAAAUACACAUCUGUAACAAUCAAUAGGAAAAUACAAAUAU